CGGGACGGGUGAGUAAUGUCUGGGAAACUGCCUGAUGGAGGGGGAUAACUACUGGAAACGGUAGCUAAUACCGCAUAACGUCGCAAGACCAAAGAGGGGGACCUUAGGGCCUCUUGCCAUCGGAUGUGCCCAGAUGGGAUUAGCUAGUAGUGGGGUAACGGCUCACCUAGGCGACGAUCCCUAGCUGGUCUGAGAGGAUGACCAGCCACACUGGAACUGAGACACGGUCCAG
RNAcentral lists this ribosomal RNA (232 nucleotides) under uncultured bacterium. RNAcentral describes it as "partial 16S ribosomal RNA". It matches the Rfam family "Bacterial small subunit ribosomal RNA", at positions 100 to 334 of the family's 1533-position model. The record is from RNAcentral.